Molecule: ribosomal RNA, 497 nt
Filed under: uncultured bacterium
Lineage: Bacteria
Description: partial 16S ribosomal RNA
Rfam family: Bacterial small subunit ribosomal RNA
Source: RNAcentral
GAUGAACGCUGGCGGCGUGCCUAAUACAUGCAAGUCGAGCGAACAGAUGAGGAGCUUGCUCCUCUGACGUUAGCGGCGGACGGGUGAGUAACACGUGGAUAACCUACCUAUAAGACUGGGAUAACUUCGGGAAACCGGAGCUAAUACCGGAUAAUAUAUUGAACCGCAUGGUUCAAUAGUGAAAGACGGUUUUGCUGUCACUUAUAGAUGGAUCCGCGCCGCAUUAGCUAGUUGGUAAGGUAACGGCUUACCAAGGCAACGAUGCGUAGCCGACCUGAGAGGGUGAUCGGCCACACUGGAACUGAGACACGGUCCAGACUCCUACGGGAGGCAGCAGUAGGGAAUCUUCCGCAAUGGGCGAAAGCCUGACGGAGCAACGCCGCGUGAGUGAUGAAGGUCUUCGGAUCGUAAAACUCUGUUAUUGGGGAAGAACAAAUGUGUAAGUAACUAUGCACGUCUUGACGGUACCUAGUCAGAAAGCCACGGCUAACUACGUG